Molecule: ribosomal RNA, 253 nt
Filed under: uncultured bacterium
Lineage: Bacteria
Description: partial 16S ribosomal RNA
Rfam family: Bacterial small subunit ribosomal RNA
Source: RNAcentral
UACGGAGGGGGCUAGCAUUGUUCGGAAUUACUGGGCGUAAAGCGCGCGUAGGCGGAUUGAUAAGUUGGGGGUGAAAUCCCGGAGCUCAACUCCGGAACUGCCUCCAAAACUGUCUCUCUUGAGUCCGGAAGAGGUGAGUGGAAUUCCUAGUGUAGAGGUGGAAUUCGUAGAUAUUAGGAAGAACACCAGCGGCGAAGGCGGCUCACUGGUCCGGUACUGACGCUGAGGCGCGAAAGUGUGGGGAGCAAACAGG